Molecule: ribosomal RNA, 585 nt
Filed under: uncultured bacterium
Lineage: Bacteria
Description: bacterial SSU rRNA
Rfam family: Bacterial small subunit ribosomal RNA
Source: RNAcentral
CCUACGGGAGGCAGCAGUGGGGAAUUUUGGACAAUGGGCGCAAGCCUGAUCCAGCAAUGCCGCGUGAGUGAAGAAGGCCUUCGGGUUGUAAAGCUCUUUUGUCAGGGAAGAAACGGUGGAGGCUAAUAUCCUUUGCUAAUGACGGUACCUGAAGAAUAAGCACCGGCUAACUACGUGCCAGCAGCCGCGGUAAUACGUAGGGUGCAAGCGUUAAUCGGAAUUACUGGGCGUAAAGCGUGCGCAGGCGGUUUUGUAAGUUUGUCGUGAAAUCCCCGGGCUCAACCUGGGAAUGGCGAUGAAGACUGCAAGGCUAGAAUCUGGCAGAGGGGGGUAGAAUUCCACGUGUAGCAGUGAAAUGCGUAGAGAUGUGGAGGAACACCGAUGGCGAAGGCAGCCCCCUGGGUCAAGAUUGACGCUCAUGCACGAAAGCGUGGGGAGCAAACAGGAUUAGAUACCCUGGUAGUCCACGCCCUAAACGAUGUCUACUAGUUGUCGGGUUUUAAUUAACUUGGUAACGCAGCUAACGCGUGAAGUAGACCGCCUGGGGAGUACGGUCGCAAGAUUAAAACUCAAAUGAAUUGACGG